RNAcentral lists this transfer RNA (72 nucleotides) under Pangasianodon hypophthalmus (striped catfish). RNAcentral's name for it is "tRNA-Cys". The record is from RNAcentral. Lineage: Eukaryota; Metazoa; Chordata; Actinopteri; Siluriformes; Pangasiidae.
UGUGGUAGCUCAAGUGGUUACAGUUUCGAGUUGCAGACAAGAAGGUCAUGUGUUCAAAUCCCAGCACCACCA